This 816-nucleotide ribosomal RNA is filed under the name Streptomyces sp. MZ2635K. Its description in RNAcentral is "bacterial SSU rRNA". It matches the Rfam family "Bacterial small subunit ribosomal RNA", at positions 68 to 899 of the family's 1533-position model. Lineage: Bacteria; Bacillati; Actinomycetota; Actinomycetes; Kitasatosporales; Streptomycetaceae. The record is from RNAcentral.
GAUGAAGCCCUUCGGGGUGGAUUAGUGGCGAACGGGUGAGUAACACGUGGGCAAUCUGCCCUUCACUCUGGGACAAGCCCUGGAAACGGGGUCUAAUACCGGAUACCACUCCUGCCUGCAUGGGCGGGGGUUGAAAGCUCCGGCGGUGAAGGAUGAGCCCGCGGCCUAUCAGCUUGUUGGUGGGGUAAUGGCCCACCAAGGCGACGACGGGUAGCCGGCCUGAGAGGGCGACCGGCCACACUGGGACUGAGACACGGCCCAGACUCCUACGGGAGGCAGCAGUGGGGAAUAUUGCACAAUGGGCGAAAGCCUGAUGCAGCGACGCCGCGUGAGGGAUGACGGCCUUCGGGUUGUAAACCUCUUUCAGCAGGGAAGAAGCGAAAGUGACGGUACCUGCAGAAGAAGCGCCGGCUAACUACGUGCCAGCAGCCGCGGUAAUACGUAGGGCGCAAGCGUUGUCCGGAAUUAUUGGGCGUAAAGAGCUCGUAGGCGGCUUGUCACGUCGGAUGUGAAAGCCCGAGGCUUAACCUCGGGUCUGCAUUCGAUACGGGCUAGCUAGAGUGUGGUAGGGGAGAUCGGAAUUCCUGGUGUAGCGGUGAAAUGCGCAGAUAUCAGGAGGAACACCGGUGGCGAAGGCGGAUCUCUGGGCCAUUACUGACGCUGAGGAGCGAAAGCGUGGGGAGCGAACAGGAUUAGAUACCCUGGUAGUCCACGCCGUAAACGUUGGGAACUAGGUGUUGGCGACAUUCCACGUCGUCGGUGCCGCAGCUAACGCAUUAAGUUCCCCGCCUGGGGAGUACGGCCGCAAGGCUAAAA